This 1117-nucleotide ribosomal RNA is filed under the name Vibrio parahaemolyticus. RNAcentral's name for it is "partial 23S ribosomal RNA". It matches the Rfam family "Bacterial large subunit ribosomal RNA", at positions 1829 to 2925 of the family's 2925-position model. The record is from RNAcentral. Lineage: Bacteria; Pseudomonadati; Pseudomonadota; Gammaproteobacteria; Vibrionales; Vibrionaceae.
AAUCGUAAGAUGACGUAUACGGUGUGACGCCUGCCCGGUGCCGGAAGGUUAAUUGAUGGGGUUAGACUUCGGUCGAAGCUCUUGAUCGAAGCCCCGGUAAACGGCGGCCGUAACUAUAACGGUCCUAAGGUAGCGAAAUUCCUUGUCGGGUAAGUUCCGACCUGCACGAAUGGCGUAAUGAUGGCCACGCUGUCUCCACCCGAGACUCAGUGAAAUUGAAAUCGCUGUGAAGAUGCAGUGUACCCGCGGCUAGACGGAAAGACCCCGUGAACCUUUACUACAGCUUGGCACUGAACAUUGACCCUACAUGUGUAGGAUAGGUGGGAGGCUUUGAAGCACGUACGCCAGUAUGUGUGGAGCCGUCCUUGAAAUACCACCCUUGUAGUGUUGAUGUUCUAACGUCGACCCCUAAUCGGGGUUGCGGACAGUGCCUGGUGGGUAGUUUGACUGGGGCGGUCUCCUCCCAAAGAGUAACGGAGGAGCACGAAGGUGGGCUAAUCACGGUUGGACAUCGUGAGGUUAGUGCAAUGGCAUAAGCCCGCUUGACUGCGAGAAUGACAAUUCGAGCAGGUGCGAAAGCAGGUCAUAGUGAUCCGGUGGUUCUGAAUGGAAGGGCCAUCGCUCAACGGAUAAAAGGUACUCCGGGGAUAACAGGCUGAUACCGCCCAAGAGUUCAUAUCGACGGCGGUGUUUGGCACCUCGAUGUCGGCUCAUCACAUCCUGGGGCUGAAGUCGGUCCCAAGGGUAUGGCUGUUCGCCAUUUAAAGUGGUACGCGAGCUGGGUUUAGAACGUCGUGAGACAGUUCGGUCCCUAUCUGCCGUGGGCGUUGGAAGAUUGAAGGGGGCUGCUCCUAGUACGAGAGGACCGGAGUGGACGAACCUCUGGUGUUCGGGUUGUGUCGCCAGACGCAUUGCCCGGUAGCUAAGUUCGGAAUCGAUAACCGCUGAAAGCAUCUAAGCGGGAAGCGAGCCCUGAGAUGAGUCUUCCCUGAUACUUUAAGUAUCCUAAAGGGUUGUCGGAGACUACGACGUUGAUAGGUCAGGUGUGUAAGUGCUGUGAGGCAUUGAGCUAACUGAUACUAAUUGCCCGUGAGGCUUAACCAUACAACACCCAAGG